This 468-nucleotide ribosomal RNA is filed under the name uncultured bacterium. RNAcentral describes it as "partial 16S ribosomal RNA". It matches the Rfam family "Bacterial small subunit ribosomal RNA", at positions 28 to 507 of the family's 1533-position model. The record is from RNAcentral.
GACGAACGCUGGCGGCGUGCUUAACACAUGCAAGUCGAACGGAAAGGCCCUGCUUUUGUGGGGUGCUCGAGUGGCGAACGGGUGAGUAACACGUGAGUAACCUGCCCUUGACUUUGGGAUAACUUCAGGAAACUGGGGCUAAUACCGGAUAGGAGCUCCUGCUGCAUGGUGGGGGAUGGAAAGUUUCGGCGGUUGGGGAUGGACUAGCGGCUUAUCAGCUUGUUGGUGGGGUAGUGGCUUACCAAGGCUUUGACGGGUAGCCGGCCUGAGAGGGUGACCGGCCACAUUGGGACUGAGAUACGGCCCAGACUCCUACGGGAGGCAGCAGUGGGGAAUAUUGCACAAUGGGCGGAAGCCUGAUGCAGCAACGCCGCGUGCGGGAUGACGGCCUUCGGGUUGUAAACCGCUUUCGCCUGUGACGAAGCGUGAGUGACGGUAAUGGGUAAAGAAGCACCGGCUAACUACGUG